RNAcentral lists this ribosomal RNA (901 nucleotides) under uncultured bacterium. RNAcentral describes it as "bacterial SSU rRNA". It matches the Rfam family "Bacterial small subunit ribosomal RNA", at positions 485 to 1397 of the family's 1533-position model. The record is from RNAcentral.
AAUAAGCACGGGCUAACUACGUGCCAGCAGCCGCGGUCAUACGUAGGGUGCAAGCAUUAUCCGGAGUGACUGGGCGUAAAGAGUUGCGUAGGUGGUUUGUUAAGUGAAUGGUGAAAUCUGGAGGCUCAACCUCACAGACUAUCAUUCAAACUGGCAAGCUCGAGAAUAGCAGAGGUAACUGGAAUUUCUAGUGUAGGAGUGAAAUCCGUAGAUAUUAGAAGGAACACCAAUGGCGUAGGCAGGUUACUGGGCUAUUUCUGACACUAAUGCACGAAAGCGUGGGGAGCGAACCGGAUUAGAUACCCGGGUAGUCCACGCCGUAAACACUGGAUACUAGCUGUUGGGGGUAUCGACCCCCUCAGUAGCGAAGCUAACGCGUUAAGUAUCCCGCCUGUGGAGUACGGUCGCAAGACUAAAACAUAAAGGAAUUGACGGGGACCCGCACAAGCGGUGGAGCGUGUUCUUUAAUUCGAUGAUAAACGAUAAACCUUACCAGGGUUUGACAUCCUUAGAAUUUCUGUGAAAGCAGAAAGUGCUUUAUUGAGCUAAGAGACAGGUGAUGCAUGGCCGUCGUCAGCUCGUGUCGUGAGAUGUUUGGUUAAGUCCAUCAACGAGCGCAACCCUUGUGAUUAGUUGUAUUUUUCUAAUCAGACUGCCCCGGUAACGGGGAGGAAGGAGGGGAUGAUGUCAGGUCAGUAUUUCCCUUACACCCUGGGCUAGAAACGCGCUACAAUGGUCAGUACAAUGCGCAGCGAAAUCGCGAGAUGGAGCAAAUCGCACCAAAACUGAUCCCAGUUCGGAUUGCAGGCUGAAACUCGCCUGCAUGAAGUCGGAAUCGCUAGCAAUCGCAGAUCAGCAUGCUGCGGUGAAUACGUUCCCGGGUCUUGCACACACCGCCCGU